Molecule: long non-coding RNA, 534 nt
Filed under: Homo sapiens (human)
Lineage: Eukaryota; Metazoa; Chordata; Mammalia; Primates; Hominidae
Description: non-protein coding MAFTRR:19
Source: RNAcentral
AACCGGCCCCUGGGCCACCUCUCACAAUUGAGCCCCCAGCCCUUGAACACACGCACACACGCACACACGCUGAGCUACCGCCAAUGCUUGAGCCCCCAGCCCUUACACACACCCAUACACGUGCACAAACACACACACACGCUGAACCAACUUCAACACUUGAGCCCCCAGCCCCUAGAGAGAGACACACACACACACGCUGAUGCGGGAGCAUUUAGCACAGUUUCCUUGCUGAAAAAGCAGGACCUCGGUUUAGAAAAUGGAAAUUGCCCAGGAGGAAAAGAGAGCUGAGAUAUAUGCAGCCCCAGGUGCCUCCUUCUAAUUCAUCUUCACCAUUGUGGUUGUCAAUAUGGCAUGCAGAAUUAUCCCUCUUUCCAGGUUUUCCCCAAGGACCCUGGACAAUGCUGGUUUUUCCUAUGUGCACCACCAAAGGGCCUAUCCAGUUGUCAUCCAAGCAAUUGUCCCCUGCUCCUUCAUACCCAUGCUAUCCCUGGCUCCCUCCCUCCUUCAUUGCAGAGCUGCAAUGGGGCAGAC